Molecule: long non-coding RNA, 845 nt
Organism: Apodemus sylvaticus (European woodmouse)
Lineage: Eukaryota; Metazoa; Chordata; Mammalia; Rodentia; Muridae
Exons: 3
Source: RefSeq, a predicted model, not a curated record
GGGAUUGAAAUGAUGUAUCUGCUGAAACAGGAAAAGGCUCAGUAGCUUUGGUGACUGUGGUGGUUUGAAUAAGCUUGACCCACAGGGAGUGGCACUAUUAGGAGGUGUGGCCUCGUUGGAGUGGGUGUGGCCUUGUUGGAGGAAGUGUGUCACUGUUGGGGUGGGCAAGUGAGUUUCUUUCUAGCUGCCUGAGGAUACCAGCCUCCUCCUGUCUGCCUUUGGAACAAGAUGUUGCCCUCUCAGCUCCUUCUCCAGCACCAUGUCUGCCUGGAUGAUGCCAUGUUUCCUGCCAUGAUGAUGAUGGACUGAAUAUCUGAACAGCUUAACUGAUAUAAGCUGGAGGAAAGCUCUUCUGCCUGUCACACCCUCACUGCCGGCCCUGUAGGAAGUGCUUUUGCUGGUCACACCCUCGCUGCGGGCCACAUAGAUUUGAACAUGGGUCUGAAUCGGACAAGGCUAAUAAGGCGAUCAGUCUUAGAGAACAUCUGAGUGAUGGCGUCCUUGAUUCUGCAGUCUAUGAACAACCGGCUUCUUCUGUGGAGGGACAGGGAAUGAAUGCUUUGUCAGUCUUCCAGCCCAGAGAAGAGACAAUGGGCUGACCAUGUCACCUUGAGGAUGGUGGCAUUACACUCUAAGUAACCCCGAAGUUUAGUCUCUAGCAGGGAAUGCACAAACUCCUGCACCCACACACUGGGACUUGAUGUUCAUUCAGGCACAAUAUAUUUCCUUUAAAAAAUGCAUACCUUUCAGUGAAUUUUCACAGCUUUCUCUGUGUGAAGAGAAAGAUUCCUGUAGUAACUGACUCUAGUUAUUUAUAUGUAAAUAAAGCCAUUGGCAGAUUUUUU